GUUGCUAAAUUCACAUAUUCUUAAAUUGCUGAGAUCAUUGUCAUACUGGAGGUUUGGUCCACUUACAACAGUGAAUUGUUGCUGCGCUUUUAGCAGUCAGUCUGGCAGUAAGUAUUUUGCUUGCACAAGGAACAUCCGUCCAUAAAUCCAUCCAUUAAAACUGGAGUUCUGUGAUGUGCAAGCUUUUUUCCUUAUAUGAUAAGAUUUCUACUUGACAUAAUGCACGUUUAACUUCAUGUGACUAAUGUGCGUAGGUGUAACAGUGAUUUACUGUAUUUCGUAGUGAUGAUGAAAGCUAAAAGAAUCGGUAUGCCUUACCCAAGGAGUCCCAGAAAAUCUGAAUUUUAAACAAACAAAACAAGUGACUACCAUACUGAUACAUAGUGUUUAUUUAUUUCUGUUCAUACUUAUGAUAAAUGAACGCAGCGUGACAGUAACAGAAAAAGUGAGAUACAGUAAAUGGCUGUGUGGGUGCUGGAUUAUUCCCACUUGUAAAAUCUCUGAGUCCUUCUGCCUAACAGUGUUUCCAUGCAAAACAUUACCAGACAAAUUGUUCCACUUACGUCAGCGCUGCCACUGCAGCGACCAAUAAUGGCAAAUUCAUGGUUUAGAGGACAGAGGAGGGAGUGUUUUUUUUGACAAGAUGGAAAAGUAUUGGCAGAGAGAUGACAUGAUAGAAAUCCUAAGGUGAGAUCAAAUAUCUUUUUUUCACAUAGUUUAAGUAAGUGCAACAACGUUUCAACUUUUAUUGGCUCUUAAAGGCCAAGUCAAAUAGAAAGUGCCAUUAAAAGGAUCCCAUUAGGUUUUUCUGUUAAGGAAAGCCAUUGUUACAGUAGUGGAUGGUCGUAUUACACACAGCCACAUGAAUAUUAAUGUAUGUGCAAAGCUCAGGCUCUAAACACUCCUUUUUUUCUAUUCUUUACUCUCUGUGAUGUCACAGAAAGUGGAUAUCUUUUAUUUGGCCAUCUCACGCACACAGCUCUGGCUGUUGGCACAGAAGCACCACCAACUUGUGGUUCAAACCUCAAGUGCCAGGAGCAUCCAGUCAGAAGAAAUCUGACUUCACCAACUUCAUCUUCAGCCUCAUGAGCAGGUCUCACUGUUGGUUAUUGCUCCACGUACCACUGAGCAUUAAACCCAUCCCCAAUAUUCAACAGAUUUUUUUUCACCUGCUACCUGCACUCCUUAAAGUUAAGCUGUUGUGUGAAUUUUUAAAUACUUUAUACAAACAUACUUCAGUUUGUUGUGUUAGUGGUUGUUUUAGCAACAUUAAAAAAGCUGACUAGGUGGAAAAAAACUGGAGUAUAAGUGUGUGGCACCAGUUUAAAGGUUGUUUACUAACAUUUAAGAUAUACUAUUAAGGUUUUUUUAGAUUAAAAAAUGUGUUAGGAUAGCAACCUUUCAUUUAAAUAGGAGUUGGUGACGCAGUUAAUGUACUGCUGUCAAGAGAACACAGAGAAUGACAUCCUGCCUUUUUUUUAGAUCAAUUAAUUGUUCUUAUACGGUUAAGGCAGCUAAAUAUUUAUACAUAUAGGGUUAAAGCAACUAAACACUUGGUCAGUAAACCGCUAACAAUCAAGAUUUCAUCCUGCUUUAGAUUUAUGAGAAGGCAAGUAAUGCAACAGCCAUCAAAACUGAAAAUUACGGUGUUACACAGUCAUGUUUGCACAAGAUGCAAUCUGCAAUACUGGUUUCAUGCAUUUCAGGCCCACCAAGCCACUGAUAAAAAUGAAGAUAAAAUGCCUUGAACAUUCAGAAAUACUACAACAGCAACGCAGUCAAAAAGCCCAUCUGAGCAUAUAAACAGCAUAGGUCAUAAUUUGGUUGUAAAUUUCACUAUGGGCUAUUUGAAAGGCACAACACUGGUGCCUUUUAAAGGAAAGAAAAUGGGAAAAGAUGGAUUUGUGUUCUAUUUCACUGUCUCAGAUUUGUUUAGGAAAGUCAUGGGACAUUUCAACUGGUCAAGCCAGAGAUUGGGAGCUUUUCAGGUACUGGAAAACAGGCCUAUUCACUGGUGGAUUGGAAGAGUUUGUUUGCUAAUUACUCCAAAUCAGCAAAGUAUAAUAAUGUUAAAGGUGUCAGUACACAGCUACAACAUAAACUGUAGACAAAGAUGACAGUACCAUACUACAUGUCUUCAGGUGAUAAUUCAUAAAGACUUGCUUUUUUUUAACUAUAACAUUCAAAGAGUAGCAGGAAAUGUGAAAAACACCCAUUGUCUUUAUGGUAUGGUAGAAUGUUUAGUGCCAUAUCCCAGCUGUACAACACAUAUUUGAUUCCCACACAGACACUAAAGAUAGACUGCCAUGCUAUUCAUUCUGAUAAUAUGUGUAAUGGCUCCUUGACUCAUAUAUAGACUCAAUCUCCCACAAUCCUCCCACAAUGAGCACUCUGCUGAGCCAGCAUUUCUCAACGUCUUACUUUCUCUCUUGAUUUCUGUGCAUGUACUCAGCAGAGCUACGUGGCAGUCAAGUAAACAGGCUUGUUUUUCUGUUUUGGAACACCUAAGCUAAUUUCUUGGUAACUGUUUUAUUAAAACUGUUGAAAACAACCUAAUUUAAAAAAAAAUAUAUAUAUAUAUGUAAUUUAUUUUUUAAUCCUUAUUCUGUGUGUGUACGUGUGUUUGUGUGUUUGUGUGCUGUACUGUGACGUCUUGAACUUUCUUGAUAAAGCAGAUAAAGUUUCAGUUUCUGUGGAUUUUUGUUUUCUUUGCAUGUUUAUCUGUGGCAGCUGUUCAUAUUGACUUCUUGGUUAUUUCUUUUUUUUUUAAAUCCACCAUUUUCAGGGUGAAUUUUACCCCAGAGACAGUUGGCAUGUAGGGAAAGUCUUUCUCUGUAAGUUUAAUGAUGAUCACAUUAUUUGGAGUUUGUAAGAAAGUCAUAGCUCAUUGCACGUCUUUGUUAACUCAGAGGAGUCUGUAGAUUUUUACAGGGUAAUAGCUUCCCAGCUUCUUCUGGGUUGUGAGAUUAUUUGGUAUGGCAAGGUUUAAGAGUGGUUCCCAAUUAGUUGAUCUACUUUUAUUCAUACUAGAAUGCCUUGGCAAUUUGAAAUGGCUUGAAUUCUUGGUCAAGUUUAUUUGUAAAGCACUUUUACCAAGGCUGACCAAAGUGCUUCACAGGCAGCCAGUAUAAAAUGAUAUCAAUAUUAAUGACAAGAAUGAUAACUAUACGAUAUCAAGGCUUAGCUUAGCUUAGCUUGAAUUAAAGGCCAGAGGCAGAAUGGAGUCUUGAGCAAAGACUUAAAAAUAGAAACAGUUCUAUUAUCAAAUGGUAAGGUAUUCCAACGACACGGGGCAACAACUUAAAAAGCUCGGACACCUCGGUUUUUAAGUCUAGAUCUUAGAAUAUUGAGGAUCAGCUGAUUACCAUACCUCAUGGCUCUUACAGGAGUGUGUUCAUUAAUAAGCCAAUCAAGAGAAACGAUCAAUAAACCUUAAUAUUAAUCCUAAAAUUAGCAAGGAGCUAAUGAGUGCAGCUAAAACUAGCGUAAUAUGUUCAUGUUUUCCCGUCCCAGUUAAACGUCAAAGAGCGUUUUCUACUAGCUGAAGCUAGCGAAGUGAUGACUGUGGUAAACCUACAUAGAAAGGAUUACAAUAAUCUAGUCAUGUCAUGAUAAGAGCAUGUAUAACUCUAAGUCAUUAUAAGAAAGGUGAUACUUUGAUUUUCUGUUGGGCUCCACAUGGUUUCUGUUUGGACAGCUUACAUUAUGUAUUUUGCUGACUUCUCAAAUGAAACAAUAGCCAGUCAGGUAGCAACUGGUGGGCUUAUUUUACUUUAAGUCACAAAAAUGAUGACUGAUUUCCACUUAUGCUGACACACACUGCCCAUUUAACCUCACAUGACUCAUUUCUUCAGCUGCCUUUGUAAAUGUGAUUUACAGUGGCAUGGCAGAAAGUCAAGGGGUUGGCAAUUUGGGGAAAUCUGUAGGGUGCUUACUCGGGUUACGGCUUUCCCAGUUCAUAUAUUUGAAAUGUUAUUUGAUGACCAAUCCUUAAAGCGCUAUAAACAUGGUUUUAACACUUUAUUGUUCUUCUAGUAAGCCUAACUUCAAAAACCAGUUCAUGCCCCCACAUUUAUAGGUAUGGACACAAAAUAAACAGAUCUAAACACAGAGCAGCACGAGCAUAAGCAUAUUCUUUUUUCUUCGUCUAUUUUCCACAUAAAAAUGAUAUUAUUUCAGUUUACGUUCACUCUUUUAUUUUCCCUGGUCAUUCACACCACACUUGCAGUGGCUUUAUUCCCCACUAAUUGGACGUGAUAUACACUUUUACACACACUGUCUUAAUUUAAGAUUAUUAGCAUUGUACAUACACCAGCACUGUUGUAUUAAGCACUAACAAGAUGAAGUUGACAUGUAGCCUAGCUUUUAGCUAAAUGCUACAUGGCUAUAUGGUCUUAGGCCUUACGACUGUAGCACGUUUUGCUCAUCAAUUGAAAUGGGAGUACUGAGACGAUAUGGUUCGGUUGCUUCAUUUGAAAUAAACAGAAAACAAUUCAAGUUUCACAGAGCAGCUAAGUUUCCUAUCUCCCUUUUAAUAAACUGCCGUAACUGAAGCAUGUGCUAAUGCAUGCCGAAUGGUCUUCUACCAGAGAUUACCAUAUAGAGCCUGCAUUGUAGCGGUAAUGCUGCAAAACUGUCAUAUCCUGUUCAUCAGCAAUAUACAGUAAUUAACCAGCCUGAACUACAGUAGCAUCCGGUGUAAUCUUCUGCUACUGCCAGUAUGACUAUGCACAAUUUGCAUGAGACAUCAUGCCCAAGUCUAUACUUGUCUCUGUCUAUGGGUAUAUAAUAGGGGUAUGUGUGAGUGUGUGUGCGUGUGUGUGUGUGUGUGUAAGUGUGUUGGGAAAAGUGUGGGAACUGCAGAGGAGGAAACGUGUAUUUACGAAGUUGGCUCAAAGUUCCCAUGAAUUCCUCCGGAUAGGAGAUGGAGCUGGACGUGGGGGGUUGUAUUACAAUAACCCCAGAGGCAAACUGAUUCAUAAUGUCAGUGCAAACUGUAAUGGAGUAUGUCAGGCGAAAAGUUACUGUAGAUGCGUAGAUGGAUAUAAAAAACAAAGAAUUAGCAAUAGGGUGAUACACUUUCAGAAUGAUCCAGUAAUUUUUUCCCACUUUAUAUGUUGUAUUAAUGCUCUGUUAAUAUGUAUUAAUGCCAGGCAAGGUGACAAGUUUCUAAAUGUCACCAAAAGUGCUGGUCAAGAUAAAAAUGCAAAUGCUUAAGGGCUCUGAUAAAUAAAACACAUUCACGUGAAAUAAAGCCAUUUCCUUAAAAGCAAUGAUGGAGGAUUUAAAAGAAAUCACACCAAGUGGCUUAAAGCUUGUGCCCAGCCUUGUUUGUUUCCUCUGAGGUUAUUGCUAUUGUGAUUCAUCGGUCAUUACAGUUCAUCAGACUUAUUGUCCUAAAGUUGCACUUUCACCAUCAGUCUUAUUCCCAGUUUUGACCUCAGAGAUCUACCGAGUUUCACUUGUGCAAUUAUAUAUAGCUUGUACAUUGAUGCUGCACUUGCAGACACUUCCUAAAUCACAAGUGGUAACUGGGCAUUUAAGGAUUAAACAUUUUUGAGAAAUGCUCUAAUCUUGUCACCUUGUUGAACCUGAAGAAAAAGCCUAUAAAUAACUUUGAAGUUAACAAGUUUUACAUGUUUAUAAGACAUAAAAAUAUGGUUGUUGGUGACUACAUACACUCACCGGCCACUUAAUUAGUUACACAUUGCUACUACUGAAUUUGAUCACUUUUUGCCUUCAGGAUUACCUUAAUUCUUCCUGGCAUAGAUUUAAAAAGGUGCUGGAGACAUUGAUCUGAGAUUUUAGUCCAUAUUGACAUCAUACCUUCACACAGUUUCUGCAGAUUGUUCAGCUUCACAUGCAUGAUGCAGAUCUUCUUUUCUGCCACAGUCCAAAUAUGCUCUAUCAGAAUGAGAUCUGGAGACUGUGGAGGCCAUUUGAGUCUAGUGAACUCAUGAUCAUACUCAGGAAACCAGUUUGAGAUGAUUGGUAUACCCUUUAUGAUCACAGCAUAACCACAGAUGGGUAUGCUGUGAUCAUAAAGGAACAGACAUUUUCAGCAGCAAUGCUCAUGUUGGUUGUGGCAUUUAAUGAUGUUCAGUUUGUACUAAAGAGGCCAAAGUGUGCCAGUAAAAUAUCCCUACACCAUUACCCCAUCACCCCAAACCACUGAUACAAGCACAAUGGAGCCAUGCUUUCAUGCAAAUUGUACCCCCAGUGUUCUGUUUUUAGCUGACAGUUGUGGCACCAGGUGGUGUCUUCUGUUGCUGUAUACUGCAUACUUUUGUAAUGAGUGGUUAUUUGAGUUACUGUUGCCUUCCUGUCAGUUCAAAGCAGUCUGGCCAUUCUCCUCUGACCUCUGACAUCAACAAGACAUAUUUGCUCAGAGAACUGUGAGAACUGGAUAUUUUUUCCUUUUCAGACACUUCUCUCUAAAUCCUAGAGAUGGGUGUUCAGGAAAAUCUCGGUAGACCAGUUUUCUAGAAAUACAAACGUUUAAAAAAAGUGUAGGGUUGAAAAUUGGAAUUUUCAAGUAUUUCAGUUAGUGUCCUAUAAAGGGUUAACGGUGUUCUAAACCAAAAGUAAAAAUUAUAGCAUGUUAGGCAACCUGUUGUGCAUAAGAUAAUUAUCUAGUGUAAUCAGGAAAUUGUUCCUUUGUAGAACAAUUUGGUAGAACUUUGUUUACUAGAGACCCAAUUAGUUACUUUUUUACAAUUCUCCUUAAGAACACAGCAAGAUUCUUUGUGGUUAAUAAGUGAGGUUUAGAGUUGUCAGUGGGCUUUUGUCCUGCUACAGUACUUUCAGUACAGUUCAGCUACACUAAACAUGUGCUCAGUCUAGUGCUACCUUUAAAGCUAACCUGUGUAGUAAAGCCUGCUGGUCAGAACAAGUAAUGGUGUACAAUCUACUGAAGUUGGGAAGAUUGUCUUUUAUUGCCAGCAAAUCUAUCAAAUCUAUUUAAAAAAUGUCAUUCUUUUAUGAAAAAGUUAUAGACCUAGUUUUGAACUGGUGGAUAUCAGACCAAUAAGCUUCAAACAUGCAACUGUUGAGCUAUUUCUUUAUCCAAGGCACUUAGCCUGGUUUCUCCAGCCCUUUAGCUUGUGGGUGUGAAGGAAAGCAACUCCCCCAACACAUGAAAGCUAAGAGACCAUGCCCCUGGGAAUUCUGGGAAAAGGGAAAACUGUCUAGUUGUUGUGCCAUUUUCUCAUGACACACACUGUGGGGUCGGCUCAUGACAUGCCUUCUCAGGCUUUUUCCUAAAUACACAUACACAUGUUUGCACUUUAAGGCUUGUGAGGACUCUCAGUGAGAAAAGGAAUUACAAAGCACAUUGGAGAAACUUCAAUUAUAACAACUAAAUUCCUAACCCCCACCUGAACCCUUGGACAGCACACUGAAGGUCUGUCUCAGUGUGCUGUCUCAGAGUUAGGACAAGCGUAAACAGCCUCAGUUUCAGUGGUUUUUUGUUUUUGAUUUAAAUUAGUUCUCACAAAGAUGGACAGACACACUCUUUUCCUGCUUUAAAGGAAAAGAGUUUGAAGUGGAAAGUAGAUAGAUGGCAGGUUAAGUGUGUGUGUGUGUGUGUGUGUGUGUGUGUGUGUGUGUGUGUGUGUGUGCACUCAGAAGUUGGCCAGUCAUUAGUAGAGCUCUGUGCGUUGGAGGAAGUGGUGGUUACUGAUGACUCAGCCGAGCCAUGCAUUUCAUUCUUUCUCUCUCCAGUCUCUCUGUGCUCUCUCCUCCCUCUGUCAUUUGCUUUGCUCUUUACAUUCUAUUCAUUCUUCUUUUCUAUUCUGGAUCUUUAUUUUCUAUUUUACUCUCACCCUUUCUGUCUCUGUCCACCACCUUUUCUCUCUUCCCCCUGAUUCAUCUUGACCUUUGGAGACAUCUCUGAGUGUGUAUUUUUGUGUGUAUGUGUGUGUGUUUGUGUGUGUGUGUAUGAGAGAGUGUGCAUGUGCUGUGUGUCUGCCUUACUAGGAUAUUCAGCAAUGUGAGUGGGAAGAUAACUGGCUUCCUUCAGAGUGAUUAAAACAUUCCUUCUUCUUUUUCCUCUCUCUCUUUCUUUCUCUACCCUUUUAGUUCUCAUUGACUUUCUGAUGAAGAUGAGGAUGAGGAGAGACAAACUGGACUGUCCAUGAGGUCUGGGGUCAGCUUACUUACACAUCUUUUAGGUCUAAGACGCAGGAUUGAGAAACAGUUUCACCGCAGGACUAUCAGACUGGUUUCCACCACAUUCACCCAUCCUGACAAGCGGUGGGGAAACCACCCCAGCAAAGCUCAUCUGUAUGCAGCCAGUUAUGGCCACCAGUGAAUGUCGGCCGUGUCUUGGGAGGCAGAUGGGACUGUAUGCUAAUGAGAAGGUUAGUGCUGAAGUGUCCUUGGGCAAAAUACUGAACCCCAAAAUUGCCCCCUACAUCUGUCUGUAAGCAUGAUAGUUAGAAAGUGCUUAAAGGAAACCACUCCCUAUAUUGAGAGAUACAACGGAUGUUACUUUUCUUUCAUGAAAUAUAUCAAAACCUAAUGAGGUUAGAAUUAGAACAAUUACGCAUGUCUGUCUGGAACAGCUCUUUUAAAAAACAGCCCCAGAAAUGGAAUCGCUCAGGAGCUCUCAUGACACAUUUUUUUUAUUUUGCAUUUCUGGAUUUAGAGCAUGUGUCCCUAGAUUUCUCUUCUCAUCUUGUAUUUGAUCUGUUUUUGGGGCCAGUGAUUUUUUUUCUCUUCCUUUCACAGGAUUCUUUGCAGUUUACUUCUCUUUGGCUAUCUUGGUUUAAAAGCAAAGACUAAAUUAGUACAGAUACAUUUCUUUUUAUCUUCCAAGAUCAUGACUAAUAGGCAGAGAAAAGCUGUUGCACUUCAGUUCUCACUGUAAAUGGAACUUAGUCUUCAUAUGCAACAAAACUGCACAAAUUUCCUGCUCUUUUUGUCUUUACAAAAACACACAAAAAAAGCUUUAAGCUUUGCUAAAAUUCAUCUUCCUUGAAAGAGAGAGAGCUACAGCUCCAUACAAGGUGCAUGGAAAAGAGCACAAAGUCUGAAGAGGUUAAAGCUCCAGCAGUGCUUUUAAUAUAAAGAACAGCUUCAGUGCAUUUCGGCUUAAUCGAGCACUGACAUUGUUCUUUAAAAGCAAAAUAACUUGUAUCCUAAGAAAAUUCUGUCAUGGCUCCUGGGUCAUUGACUCAGUAUUUUGAGAUUGUUCUCUUAUUUCAGUUAAGAUUUUUCUUAUCUAUGAUAUCCAGUGUGCUUAUAAUUAUGUUUGGAUUUUGUGCUUGAGUUCUAGUUUCCUGAAUAGAAUAGAAUAGAACAGAACAGAACAGAACAGAACAGAAUAGAAUAGAAUAGAAUAGAAUAGAAUAAUCCUUUAAUUGUCCCACAAGAGGAAAUUUGGUGUAUCAGCAGCAAAAACACACAUAUACAAACAGAACAGGACACAGAAUAGAAACACAAUGUUUACAUAUUCACAUCAUGGACAAUAGUUGCCAAAAUUUGAGGUGAUGUUUUUUUUAUUAGCAUUCUGCUUUGGGUAAUUUGGUAUAGUGUCUUGUUAUUUUCCGUAGCCUUCCCUCAGUGUAGGAGUUCUAAUGUGUCAUUGUUUCCUUAUUUUGCCAGUCCCUCAUCUUCAGUUUUGUGGUUUCUUGUCUUGUUAGUUAAAUUCUCUUCACCUGUGCCUCAUUUUCCACAGCCGUGUCCUCUCCUCAGAUACUUUGUGUGUUUUUAAGCCUUCAGUUUUCCUCAGUUCCUUGUCGUGUUCUCCUACGUGCUCUGUGCGCCUUCCUUCUGUGGUUUCCCUUUUGACUCCAAGAUUGCACUUCUAGCUCCAGCUUAGUUUUGUUUUGCAUUUCCUUGAGUCCCAGUCUCAUGAGUUUACCUUUACUCUGCAUACUGGGUACUAAAUCUGCCUAACACACAGCAUAUCGUGAUAAAUUCAAUCUGCUGUCACAAACACACAAACGGCAUCAAUUUAAAGAUACAAAUUCUUAAUUUAAAAGGAGUGCCUUUGGUUGUUAUCGCAUCAAAAAAAAGUGUCAAGAUGAAUACUAAACUUAAUUUUCUUAAUGAUUCAUUUGGCAAUCUGUCAAAACCGAAACCUUUCAUAUUUAAAAGUUAGAAAGCACAGCGAUGAUGCCAUUAAAUGAACUGAUUAAUAUUUAUUUAUUUAUUCAUACAGAGAUGCAAUAAUGUUAAAUAUCUUAACACAUUCAGUUUUAUUUUGAUAAAUGCACUCGGUAGGAGCUAAAUGCAGAUCCACUAAAGCAAACAGGGAAGACAAAGCACCCACUCAUCCAUCAGACUGGUUAAUCUAGUCCUGUACCUUCAGUAAAUUAUUCAUCAAACUUGUGUUUUUGUCCUGAGAGAAAAGAAUCACUGGAGUGAACGGGCACUCCCGUUGUAUACCGCUUUCUUCAAAAAGUUGUUUACUUUUGAGGAGAAGCAGAUUGUGGUUAAAGUGCUGCGAGUGUGAGCAGUUUGAGCUCUGGGGCUAUUGUACAAAUUAGUAAGGGUAUUUAUAUAACGGAUAUAAAACACUAUGUUUUUUCUCAGUGUCCUGAGAUCCGACCUUAUGCAGCUAUGCUUUUGACAAUAAUCUCAAACCCUAAAAAUGCAGCUUGAGCUGCAUGCUGAAAUGUCUUUCACAGCAAUACCGAGUCUGAAACUAAGUGGGCCUCCACUUUAAAAGGGCAACAGACUAAUUUAUCUCCUUAGCUCUUAGCAGAAUGAUUAACAGCAUCACCAAAGCAAAAAAAUUUCUAGCCGUCCGGCCUGUAAUAGGUGCAGUGUGAGGAGAAAGGGUGGGUUAUAAAUGGAAGACUGUAAUUUAUCUUGUUGCACGUCUUACAAAGUCUUUAAUCACAGUGUUCACCUAUGGUACUUUAAGAUGGCUAAAGACAUUCAUCCUCAGGAGGAGAUCCUGUCAGUUAGGGGACAACUGUAGAAAUUUGUCUUAAUAAUGUGGUUGUGUACACUUUGUAUACUGUGUCUGUUUUAUAUUGUGCAAACUUACAUAAGAGAGCUCAGUUUCCGGGGAUUUUAGCUGUGUCGUUUCUCCCAAAACUAAUUUUAAAUAAAAGCCAAGAGCAGAACAUUUAUAGUUGUGUAAAAUGCUAGUGGCAGCUGCUCUUUAAACAUAGUGUGCAGAGACGAGCAGGAAAUACAAAUUAUUACAUUAUUUGUGAAAAAAACCCCCAGGUGAUUUUAGAAAUUCCUUGCUGCAAGUGGAUCUGUAUUAGAAAACAUGUAUUUCUUGCUGAAAUAAGACAUAAAUUAACAAAAAUAGUAAAAAUAAUAAAUGAACUGGAGACUGGAAACAUGAAGGACGAGUCUUAAUGAUCAGCAUGUUGUGUUAAAAAGUAACCUCAAUCAAACGGAAAACAUAUGGUUCAUCCUCAGUUAAAACACUUGCAACUAAGCAUAAGGUUUCCAAAAAAUUCAUCUGCUAAAGGCCUUAAGCGUAAAUGUCUGCUAACAGCUUUCAUCUUUUUCCAUCUUUUCCACCGAUCCACAAAGCUAGGGUUCCUAUUGUCUGUUGUGUAGCCAAAACUGUAAGGCUCUUUCUUCAGACAGAGCCACAGAAACACUUUGUUUUAGUCUGUUUAGACUGUGCAGACAGGGUCCAUUGUGACUUAGCACAGCAACCGUCAUCCUAAUAAUUAGCCUUAAAACUAAAUCUGAUAUGGUAAAUUCUGUUUAAGCAAGUACAAGUUUCAAAAACUUUAACCUUGACCCCACAUGCAUUAAACUUUGUUUUUAAUUAUGAAAAAGUACUUAUUAUUUUAACAACUCCAGAGUUAGAGCGUGACAUUCAAUGGAAAGUAAAUAAUGUCAGGCCUGUAAUAUUUUACUGACUAUAAUUUAACUGUAUUUCUUGGCAGAGAUUAUACUUGUAUGCUCAGUGGGGUGUUAUAAGAUUGUGUAACAGAAGAAAUAACCACCAAUUUAAAAUUGGUUAAUGCCUUUGACUUAGAAGCUCACAGUGAGCGUUCACUUUUUCAGCCCUGCACUGGAAGUAAUUACUUAUUGUCUUCAGUAAAAAACUGCAACUCUAGAAGUACAAGUUUAAGAGUAGUUACUACAGAACUCCAAAGGGUUCACAAGCUUUUUCUUGAAACUGUUAUCAUCUUACAACAGUUUAUGGUGCAGACUGUUUCCUCUAUAUUGAGGUUCUUUUGAACCAAUAGUUUAUGCAACAGUUUUUCUCUUUAGACGUCUAGGCUAAUAACUUAGAUCUCACCUGCUUCAGAGCUGGUAAGGCUUGUGAGAAGUCUCAGAUAAAUUAAGGAUGAACAAGCUAAUCUGUUAGAUUAAAUGGUCAGGGUAAAGGUAGCUAUCCAAACUUUUCUCCAGGUUCCAAUUAUUAGUGGAAUACACACACGCACAAGCUACUGUAGCAUGGUACAUAUUCACCUAUAAACAGAUUGCCAACGUAUUAUGCCUAGUAGUCUGGACAAACUGGUGUAAACAAGAAAAUGAAUAGAUGAUGGGAGGAUAUCUUUGAAAAGUGAGUGUCUUUUUAAUUAUUUUCAUGUCCAAACCUAACCUAAUUGCUGUGGCUUUGUCUGUGGAAAAAGGAAGGGAAAAGAAACGACAUACACCAAUAAGUUUAAUAAGAGUGGAGAAUCAUCUCUGGAUUGUGAAUUACAUUGUAUUUUUAGUCAUGAUCACAGCCCAAUUUUUCCUUUGUUUUGAUGAUCGUUGCCGUGUGUGUGUGUGUGUGUGUGUGUGUGUGUGUGUGUGUGUGUGUGUGUGUGUGUGUGUGUGUGUGUGGAGCCAAAGUGGGAAGCUACAGAGAUGUUGGACAAUUUGACACAGAUGUUUCUGUGAAUUUAUAAACACUAGGUUGUAGUAAAGAAAUAACAUCCACUACAUUUGCAGUCCAGUUGUUUUUUUUGUCUACACUUGUGUUUGUGUUUGCAAAGGCGGUACUUAUCUACUCUAAGUGCACAGAAGCUCACUUUUCCUAAAGUUUGAAAAAGUUAAGUCUCCUAACUUUGCUAAUGACUACAUAUGAACAGUUGAGAACCGAAACAUUUUAGAGAUCAAAUUGUGCGGUAGCCUACGUUUCAGUGGCAUAAUUUAGCUUUAUACAUAGCUCAUAAAAUGAUACAUUUCAUAAACUUUUGUGAACUCUACAGACAUGUCUAAAGAUUAAAAACCUACAAACUUUAAACUGUAGCUGUAUACUUUCUGAUAAAGAACUUUGCAUGUCUUUAUGCUGUUCAGUUCUAGUAUCUAAAAAGGAAAUAUGAGCAGAGCGUCACUCCCAACGUUUCAGAUACAGUCACAGUUUACUGCACUGGGCUUGGAAUCAAUUUUUAGCAUGCAGGGCAGGAGACGUUGCUUUCAAGUAUAUUUUUGGGUGAAAAAUUUUGAAUAGGUGUAUAUUAGAUCUUUUUAUAGUUUUGUAAUUGAAAUUAAUUUUAGCAUUAUAGUAGGUUAAUAUGCUAAAACAACAGUCUACAGAAUAUUGCCAAAGGAUAUGUGUCAUAAAGCGCAGACUGAACAGAAUCAGAAACGGAGCAGCCCUGGGUUCCUCGGCGGCAGAUAUUCAGAUACCUUCCAGUUCUCUCCCUUACUUCCUACUACUACUUCCUUAUGUGGCUCAAACACUGAUAAGUCACCUUAUGAGGCCUCGCGAUGCUAUGCGUCAAUAGCCCAUGAAGAAAGCCUGAGGGUGCAGGUGCUCUGUCUGCCACUGUGUUCAGAGCUGUAUGUGGAUUACUCUUGUGUAAUAUCAUCACACGCACACACAAGCACACCGUUCGCCUGAGACGAAUUCUAAUCGCUCGAAUUUGAAACACUCCGUGUGAGAUAAAUGCAACAUUUCUAAAAUAGCAAUCGCUGUGACCAAGAUUCUUGUGCUUGACACAAUGAGAUACCUUCCUUUCGUGUUUUAUUUACACCUUUUAACAAAAUACACUGAUUAACUAAAGAAUAUGGAGUAAACAUACUCAUAAAAUAUUCAACAUAAAUCUAACUAGUUCUAAUGAUUAAAUGUGGCCAGAAAACAAAAUGAAAUGGCAAGUAAAACUUAAACUGGUUAGUAAUAUUCCUCCUGCAAAUUGAAGAGAUGAUUCAGCCGCCACUCUGGUUAAAAGGGAGUAGGCUUCUGCGUUCAGAUGUUGGAGACACUUACAGCUUUGAUAUGAAUUUGAUUUUAAUGUCAGCCUGAUACAUACAUUACUAUGCACCAACCUUCAUCAGUAAUGCAGUGUGUAGUAGCCCGAGAAAGAGCUCAGAGUUAUAAAAAAAGAUGCUGCUAUUUAAGCAGUCCUGUGAAUUGUUUGAUGAAGUUCUUUUCACAACAACAGUUGUGAAGUGGUAGUAAAUAAAUCUAGUAGCGCUUUAUAAAUAGAUUGAUUUUUGAUGAGUUUAGAAAUGUUGUCAGUGUGGUAUCAGUUGAGAGGGAGACAUGCCCUCAUCUCCUAGGAUUUGUAAGUCUAACUAAGACAUUUGAUCCUUCAAAGGAAAAUUUCCAAAGGCUUUUAGAAAAUAAUCAGACGUUGAGCAUGAACAUAACUGAAAAUGUGUAAUUGUAAUUGAACUCAGCAAAUGCAGCUCAGGUUGUGCUGCAUAUAACGAGAAUGCACACGUGGUGCCAACUACAACAAGUGCUGUAGCUAACUUAUAAGGGUUUAUUCUAAAACAUUUAUUUUUGAUGUUGGAAAACGUAUUGUGAUUGUGUUGCAUUGUGUGCUUUUCUAACUACAGUACUAAUGAUGCCUAAUAAUAUCAGAUGACCGCUUAAUGCAGCGUCUCCUUAUGUUUUAACAGUUUCUUUAUGUCUUUUCCUACACUUCAUCAUUUCCAUGUUUUCCAUGUCUUGCCCUGCAUCCUAACAAUAUUUUUCUCUGGGUUUGUUCCAGUUGAGAUGUUGCUGAGGCACUUUGUGGUUAUGACCUCAUCAUCAUGAGAUGGAAAGGCUGGUGACUGCAGGCAGCUACAGAAGAGGUGGUGCUGUGUUGUGGUUUGCAGCUGCUGGUUCUUGGCAAAAUAAAUUGCACUGUGGAGAUGCCUCAGGGAAUUAUUUGCUCAAAGGUUGAAAGGAUGAACAAAAAAAGGAAUUCAAGAGGUAUUUGUGAUUCAGACUGUGUUUGUCUGUAGUUGUGACUUAGAUGUAUCUCAGAUCAAAUUUCGUAAUCGAUGGAGAAACUGUUUUUAAAAAAAUAUUUAUUUAUUAUUUUUAAUCAGAAAUAUCUUUUUACACCAGCGAUUAAGUUCCACAGUUUAAGGACUAACUGGUCUGGUUGACUGACACUGCUGAGUAACACUACAGUGUUUUAAAACCAUUAACAGGCUGCCAUUCAUGGGGCGAGUGGGCUUCAUGGCUAUUGUCACACAUUACAACCACGUAGUAAAAUUUUAAAAAGCCGUUAUUGCUGAGAACAUGUCAUUCAUCAGAAAUGUGCACACAUUUUACAUGAUAGGAACUGUUUUUUCCCCACUUCUCCUGAAAUAUACUACAUCAGGAAAAAAUGGUUUUUACCCUAAAAUUCCCAUGUUUUGAGCAGGGUUUUGAAAAAUUUUCCGUCCUGAGUCAUAGGUAUGACUUCAGCAAUGUUAGGGAACUUCUUUAGAUGGUGUUAAAGAGCUUAACAGGCGCCUCCUUGUAGGAAUGUAAUGACUGCGCUUCUGUUUGGAGAAACCCCAGAUCUAAAGAGCUCCUCUUUUCUGUGUUUUAAGAGAAAGAUAUACUCCUCUCUUUUCUACUUUUUAAAUGUAUCCAUACUCUUGCAUUCAUAGGAAUUGGCAUUAAAACGAGUGGAUAGAAACUACGUGAAAAAUGAGUCAUGCCUAGAAAACCCUGACCCUAGAAAAUGUUGAUAUACACCGGUUUAUUCCCUUAACUAUAUAAAGAUUGGUGCCUGAAUUUUUUUUUCUGCAUGUGUAAGAUUUGUAACAUGUAACAUUUCCAUUCUACAACAUGAAGUGGGAAGACUACAUGUAGUCUUGUACCUACAAUCUUGAAUUUCAAGACCUGAUGUGGAUGCUUGUCUCACCUACUUUUUCCCUGUACUUGUUUUGCUCUAACAUUACCAUUAAUUAAUAAACUAAUUAUCUAGCCUAUGGAAUUGAUACAUUUGGCUGUUAAUUAUUAAAAAAGAAGCACACACUAUUCUUAUGGGCCAAUCAAUAAUCUAAAAGAAGCUUUGACAAAUCAACACUUUUAAUAGUCAAUUAAUAGUCAAUAUAUGACCCCACACCCCUGCACACACACACACACACACACACACGCACACACACACACGCACACACACACACAUAGAAAAAAAACAUGAAAACAUGACUUGGUUUAGUUUGACCUCUGUUACAUUGAGGCAGUGAUAUUUGAGUGCUGAGCAGGAAGCAGGUUCUCACAGCCGUGUCUUUUUCCCCAUGUUGAAAAUGGUGGCACAGAAUGUAAGAUUGUAAUGUAUGAAGUACCAAGGAAAUUUUGCUAUGAAAUAAAAAAAUUUAAUAAAAUGCAGUUUUUCUUAAGAGUCAUGGAGUUUUCAGGUAUCAUGUUUAGGAAAUGCUUCAGUGAAGUGAUACUUUUUAAAGCAAGUGGGUGAUUGAUCGGUGAACUGAGGAGUUUAAUGUGGCAUGGACAUUCAGGUUCAGGUGUAAUUUCUCGCACAAUAUGCCGAUCAGUAUGGUACAUACAAAAGAGUGGACAGGAAAAGAGCUCAGUUUGUUCAUAUGGGUAAUGCAGACAAAAAAAAUACAUUUGCAGUGUGUGUGUGUGUGUGUGUGUGUGUGUGUGUGUGUGUUUGUGUAUUGUAAAAGGAACCGUGUAAACUUAAAAGAGGGACAAAGACCAAAGAAGGAAGAGUGCAUGUGAAAAAGAGAAAGACAAAGUGGUGAGAGAGGGCGUAUAUCUUUAGCUGCCUAUAAAGCUCUGCGUGCUUCUCAUUUUAGGCAGAAGUGAAUCCUGGCUGUAAGAAAUGAUGACAAUACACUAAUAAAGCAUCUCAAACUGAGGAACUUGUCUGUUGUGUUUGUUGGUACACUUUAAGGAGCCACAGUUCACAUUUCAAUAAAAGAUGUUCACAUUCUGUACAUUUGGUUUAGUUCAUUCAGUUCACAUUCCUUUUUCAGUUUGUUUUAACUGGACUGGCAAGUAUAACUGGAAAGGAAAGAAUAACUGAGAUGUUUACUACAAAUUGGGUAUCUCUUUCCUGAUCUAUUAAAAUAUUUAUGAUGACAAAGCUUCAAAUGGAUAGGUGGCACACGUUAAUGUGAAUAUCAGUGUUAUUCAGGGAGUGUUGCUUCCUCUUGGCUAGGACAUAGAGUGCAAUUGUUGAUAGCUUCAAAUGUAAACCGUGUUCUCACACUUUUAGAUGGACACUUUGGCUCCCAAAUAUAGACCUUUUUUUUUUUUUUUUACAGCAUUGGCACUUAGAUCAAUUGAGCUACAAGUGCCAUGAUUAUCUCAAUUCUUUUCCUGGACCAUGAACUGACUUGUGAAAAUAAACAAAUAAAGUGUUGUUUUUGUUUUUGUACAGAUUAUUUUACAGAUAGAUUAUGACGAUCAUUUUCAUUAUUAUUAUUAUUAGCUAUUUUUGUCAUCACCACCACCUGUGCUUAUAGAUAUAUGUAAACCACCACCUCCUGUGCUGACUUUUAAAGUAUUUAAUAAAAACUAUAAAAAUGAGGUGGGACGUUGGACAUGCCAAAACAAUCACACAACAGUUUUACCAUUACCAGUGAACUGCAAGUGAGGCUAAUAUGAUUAGUUUGAGACAAAUAUGCAUCCAUAAACUUUCGAAAUCUCAGUAUAAAGCAUUAUUUCCUGAAAAAUCUUUCAGCUAUCUCCUCUGGAGUCCUGGAAAAACUCACACCUGAGUGCCCCUUUAUUCUAUAGUGUUCAUUUGCUCUUCAGUGUUCUUCAAAGCUGUUGAGAUCAUACAAAACUGCUUAAAAGGUCAGAUCACUAAAUGGUUUGAAGGUACUUCACCUCAGUAGUUCAAAGGUCAUUUAGCUCAGUGAUGUGUAGCUAACAUCUGCCUGCUACUUAUUUCACUUCAAGUUUUUACAAGGUGCUAAUUGUGUGCAACCAGUACUAUUCUAAACGCAUGAGAAUGGCAUCAUGUCAUUUCCGUAGCUACAGCUUUAAAUCACCAGAGGCAACAGCAGCUGUGACACAUGCACACUGACGUUUAGGUACAUUAAGAAGUCAUGAUACAUGUAAUUUUAGAUUCAACACAACUUCUACUUAAUAUGCAUACAUAAAAUCUAUAUUGGACAAAUGACCACAGAUACUUAUUUAGAAAAUACAAAUUAAAUUAAGCUCUGUAUAACAUGAGAACUUUUUUAAGAACAAAAGUAAUCCAGUGAUAGUUGUCAGUUGGUGGUGAUGAUGGUUUGUCAGCAGUUUACACUAUUGGUGUGGGGGGAAAAGGCAGUGGAGAUUUCUUGAAUAAGUUUAGUCUGAAACAGAUAUACCUCUUAUGAGUAAAAGUUUCAAUUUGAAUCUAUCAUUAAUCAAAUUCACUGGUUUCACAAAUGGGAGGUUCAUUUUUUUAAGCUGAGGUUGGAUAAGGUCACAGAUAUGCAUAAACAGGCACUGGUUGCUAAUUCUACACAUGUCAGAGGGUGUCUUCUGUGUUUCUUUGAAACUGUUCUUUUGAUUUCAACAAAGUUACUAAUUUGUCAAUUCCAAUAACAGUUUCAGUAAUCAUCACAUUCAACCUCUUAGCUUGCAGACUCUAAGAAAAUGCAGUGUUGUAAAGUACUUUGUUCCCAGUAAACUAAGAUUGAAAAUAAAAAAUGUUAAUAAAUGAGUCCACAAAUUGGACAGCUUAUUGUUGUGCAUCCUUGCAGAGCAAAGAGCAGACUGGAAAGUUUGGUGUGUCUGUGGCUUUGGUUUGAUCAGUUGAUCUAAACAGAGAUUAGAUGUGACAGACAACAAUAGAAACUAAAAAGGACUGGCUGUAAUACUGACGUUUUGAUCAGGUCAUGUGCAGUGAUGCACACAAGAUACACCAACAGAUGGAUGAAUGCCAGUACACAGUGUCAGUUUAUCCCAUUCAUCUGCCUAUAAAUGCUUUAUCUUGACUGGGAGACAAUCAUCGGGAAUAAAUGGGAGACGAAACAAGGCUGGUGUAUCUAAAGGAAAUGUGGCUGCAUGGUUACAAAUGUUAUUGACUGUAAAAUCAUUUUAUUUGGACAAGGGAGUGAAAACUAGUGAAAGCUCUAGCAUUGUUUUUAAGGCUCCAAGUAAGUAUAGAAACCCAGUCUUUCAGAUUUUAAGGCAGAUUUUUUUCUCUACUUCAAAAUUUCUCUCUCUAGUAUUUCAUAAGGUUGUUAAUUUUGUCCCUACAUGUUUUAUGCUUGGAUGUAACUUUGAGCCGCCAGUGAGCUGACCAGUUUUGACGUUAAUGUGUCAAGAUGACAAAGAUUUCAUCACAUUACACUGAACCCGACUGCAGUGUUGAUCACAAGGACAGUGUUACAUAAAUAAAGAAAACGAAUAAUCUGUCAAGUUGUUUUACACACAGUCAUGACAACAAACUAAAGAAACACACACAAAAUUAUAAAACGUGGCUAAAGACUGAAAACUGCAUAGUAAAUGGAAGGAUUUGUAUUUGUGUACUUUUUUGGGGUUCCUUUUACUAAGGUGUGUUUAGUGUGUUUUCUUUUGGCUUAGAUUAGAUUUGGAUAAGAUUUCCAUGUACUGAAUGUUAAAAAACUAUAUGACAGCUCAUCUGUCUGUGUGUACCUCACUCAUUGUACUGCCUUAGGCCUCUGUGCGGCACUUACUGAGAAUACGCCCAGACAUGUCCAAGAACAAAAUUACCACAGGCACACGCACACAUGCGCACACUGCAGAGAUACAAGCACGUGCGUGCGUACACACACACACUUAGGUGCAACACAUACGCACACAGAGCCAUGGACUGUGGUUAAACCAGCUGCUCAGCUGGUUUACAGCCCAGAUAAGGCAGUCCAAUCCCACUCUCACACCAUGGAUUCACUUACUAGUAAACUCAACAACAACCGCUGACCUCAAACAGCCAGUUAGAAAAAUCCUAAAUGUACAAGCUGCCCUCUUUAAUGUGCUGUUCUAUCCAAAGUACAAAUGAAAUGGCAAUGACACAUUUGUAGUCAUAUCUAAUUAUACUCCUGGUUUGGGAACUGUUUACUGAAGACAGGAAAUAUUCACGAGACCCAUUUGUACUUGGCUGCUUUAUUAUUAAAUUUUUUUGAGACAAUUUUGCAAUAUUGAUGACAAAGAAAAAAAUGUUUCCCUGUAAAUCCAUCUACAUAUCAUCUUUAACAUCAGGAAAUUGAAAAGAUAAAAUAAGAAAGAUCAGGGGAAUCAGGUGCAGUUCUUUGAUCUGAUGUUAAUUCAACAAAAUGCAGCAAACUAACACUCCUUCAUAAACUCAGAUACUGAAUCUGGAGUACAUCCCCUUAUUGUUUCCUCCACCCUUGACAGUGGGGUUUUCCAUGGUAGCAAAUAUUCUUAUCUAUGAAGAAAUAGUCAUCCUCAGCAGGAUAUAGGACAACCUCCAGAAUUUAUGGGCUUGUUAUGAACCGCCUUCACAACAUGUAAUAAAUUAGGUAAUCAUGUAACUGCAUAUGUAGGCCAGUAUAUUAAUGAAGCAAACAGCUUAACACAGUAAUUUGUGAUACUAGAGUUAUCAGUGUCAUCAUGAAUGUGAAAACAGUCUCAGCCAAUAAUAUAAAUGCAGUCACUUUUUCAUUAGGUCUUUUCGCCAUGUAUAUGAAUAUAAUUAUUUGCAGUAUAGCCUAAAACUGCAUAAAUUAAUCAUCUUAUGUAGCACUAAUGACCUCUCUGCCCUUCUGCAUGUGUUAAGAAUGCAUCAGGCAUGAAAAGCAGCAGCAAGACAUCUGUAACAACAGAUAGCAGAACAUAAGAGAACAUUAAACAUGCAGUUACUAGCUCAUCUGUACUGUCAAAAGAAAAAAAAUCUGUACUCUGGUUAGAGCUGCCAACUACAUGUAACUCUAGAUAAAUCAUGUAAAAGGGAAGUACCAUAAUAAGAAAAGGAGAAAUAACUUUAAAAAGUGGAAUGUAUAUAUAUAUAUAUAUAGGUACCUAUAAGCUAAUGUUUUUUUUGACAAUAAGAAAGAGAAAGCAAGCAAAGCCAAAGGGUGCUUCCAAAGAAAUCUUUUUAUAGAAUAUUGUUAAAUUUACCCACAUUAAAUAUGAGGAAAUGUUGCUUGGGAAAAAUAAAUAUGGUGUGUUUUAUUAUGUUAUAUAUGCUUAUAUUUUACUGAUAAAUGACCUCUUUGGGUUGUGCCAAUCAUGUCUAUAAUGUCUCAGAACUAAAUGCAGAAGUAGGACAUUUGAGUACCAGCAACCCUUUUAUGGAGGAAGUCAUGGUGGCUAAACAUCAAAAUGUCAAACAUUUUGUAUAUUUCUAGUAAUUAAAUUAAAUUUCUUAACUAUGAUCAACAUCGGAGCUGCAGAGAUGAUUCAUGCGAUGGCUGAUUUGAUAGAUAAAUGUGAAAAUGUGCAGCUUUUCUUAGUCUCACAUUGUAGUAAAUGCUUUUUGGAUUUUUAUUGUUUAUAAUUGAUUGUUUUCAAAUAAGAAAAUCAAUUAACCAAAAUACUAUACUUCCUCCUAAUAACUAUGUGAGCUUUUCAAAGUUGAAUCUAUCUAUCGCAGAAGAUGAGAAACACUCACUUUCCUGUGCUUCCAAAAUACAGCCUGAGUGCCAGUGGUGCCAGCAAUUUAUUUGGCUUGUGGGGGAACAGAGAGAAAAGAAAGUGUAGUCAUCUACAGUUCAUAUCAUACUAUAAAACAGCAGGGCAGAAUGAGACCAUUUCAAAUCUUUUGAGUUUUCAUACACGGACUUUGAAAACAGACUACAGUUGGUGUCAAGGAAUCCAACAGCCACCUCACUAAUGGUUAAAAAAUAUAAAACAGCUAAACCAACAUAAAACACCAACAAACAAAUCAUAAAUACUAUAUUAAAGUGGAUUUUACCUGUACAGCUUUUAGCUAUGUGCUGGUUCCUUAAAGCAGGACUUGGUCAUCAAAAUGUUAAAAAUCUGCUCUAGAAAAACAAACAGAAACAAUAUCUGAUCUGACUUCAGUGUUAGCAGACAACACAACCUGCCCUGUCAUAACUAUCACUCAAACUAUGAGAAAUCACUGUACAUUGUUGACUUUCAUAUUUUUUGCUAAAUGUGGUAAAGGUUGGGCUCCAGUCACACAGUCCUGGAGCAAGUUGGUGACCUCCUGGACAUCACUAGUCUUUAAGAAAAAAUAUGCAUAACUGGUAUCUUCAGCGAGUGGUUGCUAAAGUCCCAAUCAUGCAGGCACAGAGACUGGUCACUAACCCCUUGGCAACAACAGGUGGAGUAUGAAAAGUGUGUGUUUCCCAACCAGUUGGAGAUGGGAGUCACCAGGCUUAAUCUGGUGCGCAGAGGUAUGGUCCUGCAUUGACGGUCAACAUUGUUAAUUUUGUGUUUGUGGUGCAGUUUGUCUUAGGUUUAUUUCUGUUCUGGAAGUAGUUGGCAAGUGUUUGCAGACAAAUCAGUAUCUUCUUUGCAGCCAAUUUUAUUUAGCAACAGUUAGCAGCCUCCAGCAUGCCAUUGUGUUCAUAAAACAAACCAGCAGACACUGUGGUUGGCAAACAGUAUCGAUGAUUCGGGUAAGUUUCAGUCAUUUACUAAAUGACAAGGUUCUGAUGCAUUCAUGGUCAUCUUUCCGAAGAAGCAUAUUUGCAGUGUGAUGCUUUUCUUUUUGUUCUUUUUUUUAAGCAACUAGGACAUGAGUAAAACCAGCCAGUCAGAGUCAGCUGAAGGAAGGAGUAAUGCCAAAGAAGGGUUUACUCCCAAUCAUGGGUAUAUAAAAUGAGAUCUACAACAUGAUGUGAAAGGAACCUUAAACUAUGUUUUGAACGGUUCAGAAUUAGAUUUAUACUCUGAUAUAAGUUUACGCUGUGACAAAAAUGUAUACAGUUAAAAUUUAUACAGAAAAAUUAUAUUUAAAAGACACAUAUUUGGACUAAUUGACAUUCUAUCACAUUCUACAAACUGACUUUGGGGUGGUGCAUGUUAUUCCAAAACAAAUCUGCAACUGUAACUCUGCAAGGUCUGGUUUUCUAUAAUUUGGCUAAAAUGUUUGCCAGUAUUUGACCUAUUAUUACCAAAGUAGUACUCUUUUUGUUGUUGUUGGUGGUGGUGGUUUUUUUUUUGUUUUUUUUACAUAAUUUGUCUGUCUAAAACAAAAUAUUUGCAGUAGGGUUGAAGUAUGAUGAAGACCUUUCAGGCUUAAAUGUCAUCAGCUAAGACACAAAAGACAGAAGGAGGAAGAAGACAGGAAGGAAGGAAGGCGUUUUUGCAGACUUUAAGACAGGGAUGGAAAGAUUCAUGUGAGAAAUAUUUUUGAUUUAGUUUCUCUUUCUGUGUGACUCAGUUUUCUGAAACUCCUGCCUAGCUGACACAUCGUCUCGCCUCGAUCCCACAGCUCAAGGAAGGCAACACAGCAGAUGAAUUUGUUCUGAGCAAUCAUUUCAAGUGCUGUCACACUUAACAGUACAGUAAAUAAAGACUCAUGAUUUCAUUCAGCAACAACAUUUAAUGGAAAAACCAAGGGCUUUCAGGUGCUUCAUUUGUGGUUGCACAGUUAAGUAUAUUUAAGGGUAAAUGGAGUGGAGUUAGUUUAGCUUACGACACUACUUUAUUCUACAAUGUAAUCCUCUCGAAGUUCUCCUUUCUGUAGAAAAGCCAGACUAAGGAUCAGGAGUAUUUUAUAUCAAACAUCCACUUCCACUGUCACAAGACAAACUUGUGCCAUUUUCUACAACUUCCUUAUGCAAAUAAAUUGCAACAGCAAAUGUGUUUCAAGAGAAGCAUAGUGCAAUCAGUUUCUGAUUAAUAAGAUAAAAAUUACAAUAUUUGGCAAGUCCACCACCAAAAACUUUCCAUUUGCAGUGAUUACAGCUUUAUUAAACCUUUUUAAGCACGCACAGCAUUUCAUUUUAAAUUUAGGUAAAGAUUGUGACUCCCGACAUGACACAAGUUUUUGCUUAUUACUAGCCACAGAUGGGACUGAGUCACACACUUUGUACACCCUAUCAUCCAGCCUAACCUUAUGCAAACUCUGCUACGGUUCAAAAAUGUAGUGUUUCAAUUAUUGACGUUUAUUCUGAAUAGCAAUGUAAUUUCUCAAGUCAUUUUCCCACAUGCACUGUAGUCCUGAAGUCUUCUCAACACUUUUGUGAUGCAUCUGCAUUUGACAAGGAUCUGACACAAUCAUCAGAUACAACCAGGGCUAGCCCAUGUGGCAUCUAAUUGGCAUCUCUUAGCAAAAACAGCAGUCUGAAGAAUUUGCAUUAUUAUGCACAAUAUGUGUCCUGCCUACUGCACACUAUCCAGCUAGCACUCUUAUCAAAACCAAAUGUAAUAUUUCCAGACGAGAGACCAUCUCUCACCAUGUACUCCAGUACAUGUGAAAGAGAACAACUCUGGACAAUAUCCCAAUGUCCUUUUAUGCAUGAAAAUAAUGCUAACAUGAGAUUAGAAAAUACAAAACUUUUCCUAACCUUCAUACUUAAUCAUGCUUAGAAACUAUGUAGAGUACAGUUCAACUAUGAGUAGAUAUUGUAUUGAAACAGUAGACAUUAUAAGGCAACAUGUUAAUAUUUUUGCAAUACAUAUAUUUCAGAUACAUUUAGGAUUAACAUGUUAUGACCCGUCAAUAACAACAUGUUCUCAUCAUGAUCAGUAAUAAACACAAUCAAAGCAAAAUAAUGUUGCAAAAGGGACUUUUUACUUUGAACACCACAAAGAGAAAUACAUGCAAGUUGUAACAAAUUAGAACUGCCAUUUAAAGGUGAAUUACUGUGUAAUGUGUCAGAAACAAGUCAUUCGUUUUAUAAAGUAGUUGUCAACUAAUCAAGCCUUAUCUCUGAAGACAUUCUUUUUUUCCCUUGUCAUUGUUGACGCUAGUAGUUCAGUGAAAUAUGUUUAUCAAAGAGGAAGAGCUGAGGCAUAGAUCUAACCACUGGCACUCCAUAUGGCAUCUUUGCCUGAAAGGAAAACUGGAUUUGGUCAGAAGGGUUUGUAAUGGUGCCCACAGUUUACAGUUUUACUUAAACAUUUUAUUUUAUUUUAUUUUUCCUCUGGAAUGAAGUUAUAGCUCCAAAUGAUAGCUGGUUUACAAGCAAAGGUGGCUGCUGAAUCAUAAGGGAAAGCUUUUGAAAUGUGUUGAGAGAGCUCACUCAGCAUAAACAGAAAUGCAUCUCAUGCAUCUGUGACUAAUAAAGAGUUCAUAUUUCAUAUUUCGUGACCACUUUCGUUAACUGUCAAGGUUAAAAUGUGUAAAGUUGGAACUCUGCGUAGCGCUCAAUGGUCACACUAAUUUGAAACAAAGUGAUUAGAAUCCAGUCCUGACAUGUGAAACCACACACAGAUACACACAUACAAAUGUGACACAAUGUGCUAUUUUGAAAGUUGUUGAGUAGAUAACAUUUGCAUCAGUGGUGUGGGGCAUAUGGUGUGGCCAUUGCAAACGUUAAAUGUCAGAUCUAUGUUUGUUAGUUUGUUGCUUUGCACUCUGUGUUUUUGUGAUGUCAAAGUCAAAUGAGAAAAGAUGAAAACGUGUCUACAUUUACAACAUCUAAAUUUAAAAAAAGGAAUUUAGUGAAUUAUGAUCUGUCUAAAAAUUGUUUACUCACUUGGAACAAAACGAGACACAAACUAGUGCUUUCCUGUCAUGAAAAAGACAUGCGGUCACUGGUUUUCUUCUGUUCAGAGUAAAGAAAAUGUUUUUUCCCUUGCAUUUUGCAAAAAAUAACCAUUGGCA
Molecule: long non-coding RNA, 25760 nt
Organism: Haplochromis burtoni (Burton's mouthbrooder)
Lineage: Eukaryota; Metazoa; Chordata; Actinopteri; Cichliformes; Cichlidae
Exons: 4
Source: RefSeq, a predicted model, not a curated record